This 344-nucleotide unclassified non-coding RNA is filed under the name soil metagenome. RNAcentral describes it as "partial contains 5.8S ribosomal RNA, internal transcribed spacer 2, and large subunit ribosomal RNA". The stretch from base 5 to 118 matches the Rfam family "5.8S ribosomal RNA", at positions 40 to 154 of the family's 154-position model. The record is from RNAcentral.
GAUGAGAACGCAGCGAAAUGCGAUACGUAAUGUGAAUUGCAAAUUCAGUGAAUCAUCGAGUCUUUGAACGCACAUUGCGCCCCCUGGUAUUCCGGGGGGCAUGCCUGUCCGAGCGUCAUUGCUGCCCUCAAGCACGGCUUGUGUGUUGGGCCCCGUCCUCCGAUCCCGGGGGACGGGCCCGAAAGGCAGCGGCGGCACCGCGUCCGGUCCUUGAGCGUAUGGGGCUUUGUCACCCGCUCUGUAGGCCCGGCCGGCGCUUGCCGAUCAACCCAAAUUUUUAUCCAGGUUGACCUCGGAUCAGGUAGGGAUACCCGCUGAACUUAAGCAUAUCAAUAAGCGGAGGA